This 1797-nucleotide long non-coding RNA is filed under the name Marmota monax (woodchuck). The record is from RNAcentral. Lineage: Eukaryota; Metazoa; Chordata; Mammalia; Rodentia; Sciuridae.
CAAAAUCUCCAUCAUUCAUAGAGGUUCAAUGGCUGGCACCAGCCAGGUGUCUCUCUGUUCCCAUUUCAGUUCUUUUUGGUUUAAACAUUGAGUCUUCUGUGAACCCUAUGUGGAGCACCAGCUAGCUCCUGGGGAGACUCUUUGGUAGCAGUAGGGAAGGUCCAGGACUCCUAAGUCAUUCCCACUGCAGAUGUGUUUGACACUGGAAUCCACAGACUCCACUGUCUUCUGCAGUUCUCUUCUCUUGUCCUACACUUCUCAUUUUCUAGAAAAAUCCCCUUCCCACAGUACUGAGGUUCUCUGCUGGAGAAGAGGAUAAUUUUAAGUCAUGUAGCAUCCUGUAGCACCUCAAAGCCAUUCCCACCAGAUGAGUCCCUUCACUCAAACCCUGCCCUGUGGCCCCUUUUGAGGGUCUCCCCUUUGUCCUUUGAAGCUUUCUUGCCUAAAGCCUCAUCCAUGUUCCUGUGAAUCUCUCCAACUCUCUUAAUAGUUCACCAGUGGCUUAGGCAAAGGUCAUAGGUGGUUUGUGACAGGAUGUGGUCUGUUGUCUCUGCCUGCAGUAGGGUGGACAGACCUCUCCACUGUGUGAUAUUGCAGGGAGGGGAAAAAGAAUGCUGCAAGUGCUUCAUGCACUUUCUACAUGCAGCUAUCUGUCUCUGGGAUGAGUUGUGUGAACAGGAGACGUAUCAGGGCAUCCCAAGCAGGGAGUCAGGCAGCAAGAAGCAGGACUGUGAGCACCUCCACAGAGACCUGCAAGGACUCCUCAGUGCUGGCCAACUGUGGGGUGGGCCUCUGAAGGCAGACCUGUGUUGGGAAUGGCUGUUCCCAGGAGGGGCAGGGCCAUGGUGUAGACUCACCUCUACUGGUGGCAGUUUCUAGGGAGGCUGACCUCAGCUCAUUGUCCAACAAACAUCUCAGUGGAUAUAAAAACAAAGCCCUGAGUCCUCAGAGCAUCCAUGCUGCUACCGUCAUCAGUAUAAGAAAAGCCUGGUUCUGCUGAGAGGAUGCUAUCCAUUUCUCUUGCAUGUGGGAUGGGCAAGCUCUGGACUUCCACCAGUUAACUCGGUGGACCUUGGAGUCUGGAAAUGAAGGCCCUCUGGUCUACCUCCCAUGCAUAGCCUCUCUGCCAAUUCCUUAUAUUCUCUAUACAUUGUGCCAAGUUUCUGCAGAAUAAGAAAAAAAUCCUGGUCCUGGCCUAACCCUUUCAGUAUAGGAGCUUUGCCAGGGAUCUACAGAUCUCACCUUCAUAGCGGUCAGAGGAUCAGCUUUCAGGAGUCCAGAUCUCAUUUUGACUUAUGCUCCGAUCAGUCCAAUGGUGCCAAACUGAUCACCAGGCCUUUAGCAUGUAUGAAGCUAAGCACUGUUUAGGUUGGGGGCAUCAGAGCAGUGAUGUAGGUAGGUAGGGCCCUAUGCUCAUGUGGAUGGGAAACUCUGUGGUACUGAGUGAGAGGAAAAAAUGAAAGGCUUGGGAAGCUGAGCAGGGUAGAGAGGGGAGGGGAGAGAGAGAGAGUGGCUGGAGAUUAUAUACAGUGAGAAAGAAGGGGGUCAAGAGAUGAGGUGGGUAGAGGAAACUAUGGAGAAAGUAGUCCUGAUUCAGGUCUUUCCUUCACCUUUAAAAGAACCUAUAUGGACAUCACACUCAUUCAGAUGGAAAAUAGUUCUUUCACUACAAAAGUUCUCAGGAUUCUUCCUGGUUCAUUCUUCUUACCAAACAGCUCCAGACAACCCUGACCUGUUUUUGUCCCUGUGGAUGAGAUGCACCUCUUUCCAAUCUUUCCAUGAAUAAAAUCAUAUUGC